Long non-coding RNA from Siniperca chuatsi (mandarin fish), 3041 nucleotides. RefSeq lists it as uncharacterized. The record is from RefSeq and is a predicted model, not a curated record. The transcript has 3 exons. Lineage: Eukaryota; Metazoa; Chordata; Actinopteri; Centrarchiformes; Sinipercidae.
GUUUAGGUGUCAAACAGGAGGGGACAGUGGAUUAUGCUGUGUAGUUAUGUGGUUAGAUGGAUAUAGUGUUGAUUUAAUCAGUGUUGGUAAUCUGGGACACCUCACACCCUGUUGUUAACACUGAAAUGCCACACUAAAUUGCUUCUUUUCUUCUUUGAGUACUCCUGUCAGGCAGCAAUUGUAAAUCAACUAAGUCCUCACUCCUAUGCAGCUCCACAGCUCAGUGAUCCGGGUUCCAGGGCCAGGGGUGGUAGCUCCCUGGUGCUAUUAGUUAGCAGGAUCAGUGCUGGAUGGGAGGACAUGGAAGAAGACCGGGGGACACCUGGCCUUUUCUCUUUGGGCGCUCAGAUAUGUCACAGCUUUGCCUCUUGACAGAAUCAGGAUGCAGGAUAGUGCCCUCCCAUUGAUGUGCGUCCUGAAGCUCCUCAGCCUGAAGUGUAUCAAUGCAACAUCCAGCAGCACCACCAGGAUAUCUGGUCGAAGUAGACGGUCCUGCUUCCACUCUGCCAGCGUGUUUCCAGCAGCUCUGGUUUAUUUCCAGUCUGAUGUCAAGACAGGCUGGUAAAUCACCUCUCCUGGUCGCCCUGUUUUCAUGCCAGAGAAACAAAAAGAGCCUCUUCCAUUUCUCUUGCUCUCAAAGAGAAAAAGAGACACCUUGCAGUGGAGCACCCUGCUGUGUCUCCUAUUGACCCUGGAGUUUCACCUCCCCUCCAGCACUACAGAACUACAUAUGUGCAGAAACAGGUGCACUUUCAAAGACUGAGGCUGCAUGCCAAGGUCUUUGACCUUAUCAUCCACCUCACUGGUUCCGGAAGAAUCCUUUCCGCCCCCUGUGGCUACCAAAGCCCCGGCCGAUACACAGAGCACAGCAGCAGACCAUCUUCAGCCUCAGACUAACAGCCAAGCGCCACAACCAGUUAGGAGUGAUCCCAGCAGAGCGCCCAAGUGGCUCAAACUGCCAGGUAUGUUCUAAUCAUCCCCGGCGUGGGCCCAGUGGCUCCUUAACAAAGUUUAGGACCCUCAGAGAGGCCUGGGGCCUCCAGGAAAUGCAUGUAUACUGUAUAUACUGCAUGGCCCAGCAGUAUAUGCAGUCAACAGAGAUGCUACCUCUGUUAUUUGCAUUCACUUCACACAUGCAAGCUUUCUGUAAAACGCAUGCGUACCAAACGUCUGGACCGGGUUUUGUUUGUGUUUUUUUUGACAGCUCUGUAAAUGUUUGUAACUUUACGUGUGUGUGUGUGAGAGUUGCGUGUGGAGCAUCUAAGAGGAAUGCACUCGCUCUGUGUCCCCUGCAGCAUUCCUCCAUGGUCAGACAGCUCCAUGCCCAUGAGGGGGCCACAAGGGCCUCUUGUCUCCUGAGCACUAAUGUGUCACAGCCCCAGAUCAAGCACAACAUGCAUGCAAGCACAUACAUGCACAGAAAGAUCUGAGAACAGAGGCAUGCCAUCACAUAUUUAUUAUAUAAGUACUCACAAACGUCUAAUUGAAAUGAAGGGGGUAAAAAUGGCACUUAUGGCAGAUGACACCUAUAGUUUCUUUGUGGAUUAAGAUUUCCUGUCAUCUCCUGUCUUUGCAAGAAUUAUAAAAGUGCUUCCAUGACAGUAGAUCAUAUUUGUCUUUCCCAUACUUACUAUCAUCCAAAUGUUUUACCCAGGUUAAAAGAGGUACAAGGUCUAUCAGUUAAAAAGAGCAAAGACUUGCAGCAUUAUUAAUGAAAAUAAUGUAUAUGGUACACAACAACUGUUUCUAUGUGCACAUUCAUGGUAAAAGAGAAAAUUGUAUGUGCCAUAUAAGCCUAUAAACCUUGAUGUAGCUCAUACACUUUGGAUUUUGCCUGCUUGGAUGUUGGAUUGCUUGGAUCUCAGAGAGGCCAGCAGUCAGGGAAAUGGGUGUAUUAUGAUAACUUGUCAUAGACAGGACCCUAGUUUGGGCCUGAGAAGAAAGGAGCUUUGAGAUGAAAGAAAGUUGGGGAGAUGGGAGAAUCUGUGUCAUUCUAACAAAAAAAAACAACAACCAUAGACUAGUAAAUGGGGAAUUAAGGAGUGAAAUCUGACAUAAUCCUAACAUACCCUCACAGGGACUCUCAAGACUGAUGCAGACGACUUUACCCCAGACAAACAUCACCCUAAAGCACAAUUACUGUUACUGUUACCACACAGCCUUUAAUCAUGAUGGUGUGAUUUAAAAACUACUGAUGCAAACUGUCCAAAGAAGGUCAAGCUUUGCCUUAACACAACUCAGUCACACUGAUAAAAGAAGUGUUAUUAGCCAAUUUUAACUCGACGUACAAAUAAAAGCUAAAGAACUGUCCUGGCAGUCACUGGUGCUUCUAUAAAAUCGGUAUUGAUAUUGAUAGCUACAAUCAGGCAGAUAUCUUCAAGCAAUUAUAAGGGCCUUGUGCCAUGUGAAGCACUGUCCAAAGACCAGCCAGAAGGCUGGAGACAGAUCAGUCUCUGUCUCCUGGGAAAAGCUUCUCACUGCGGAGCUUCUCCAAAGCGUCUGGACUGGCUGUCGACACUCCCUGCCUUUAAUGUAUGAUCAAGAAAAGCUUUAACUCAUUACUCUCUUCAGCGCCCCUCCCCAUUCUUGUCCUAACUGCUUUCGUAUGUUUAAUAAUAGUGCCUUCAGAUGUAAUUUGUUCCACUAAGAUGCAUAAGGAGAAAAGUUGUACAGUAGUAGUAGCACUACUUCACCAGUAUAGAGACCUUCCAACAGCACAUAUUGUGGAAAAGAAAUAAAUCUGUGAGAGAUCCAACAGAACAAUUGUUUUUAUUUCAUCUGCAAGGAUUGACAGUGGGAGAAGAUAUACUAAUAUCCAAACUACACCUUUUACAGAGUUAUUUCUUACCAUGGUAUUGUACUUUUAGCAAGAUCAUUUGGUUUCAUAUCUGGUAAUAAAAACUGCUUGCAGCAUUUCAUCUGAGUGAGCAGGUUGUCAAAGCGGUGCUUCUGGAGUGUAUUGUACUACACUAAAACUAGAGGGCAGGACUUGCUGCUAUGAAUGACUAAUUAUUAAAACAAUAAAUUGUUUACUUCACAAA